GAGAAGCGCGAGCAACGACGACGUCAUCCAAAAACAUGGCAGACAUUGGAUUAAUUUAAAAUAUCUUCAGCUGUGAGUGAUGAAGAAAAACAAAUCGGCCUCGGGGACAAUUAUUUGAAUAGUUCAAUUUAUAUUUUACGCACAAAAGUGAUGACCAAAAUAUCUUAUUAGGAAUUUCCAAAUCUGCCUUCUCCAUGUGGCCUUGUAUGGAAAUGGUAUUUUUGGACCGGGCGUCAGAUAAACUGCAGUACCGAAGCAAAACUAUAGGACCGGAACCCUGGCCCCUUACCAUAGGAAUGCAAGACAGGGGAAAACAACAGCAAGCCCAAAAUUCUCCGCUGGAGUCCUGUAUUGCACCGGGGGGAGAGCUGUGAUGGCAUCUGUUAUGCAGAUAAUGACAACAACAGUAGCUGUACAUGAUGUAAUGAAAAGUUGGAGGGGGGUCGGUAACGGAGGACAUCAGGUGGAUCCACGUCUGGGUGUUGGGCAGAACCCCUAGCUCAUGGAGAACAGGAGCAGAGUUAACGGGAACAGGGUAGGAGACAGAGACGUAAACAAAAUGUGAUGGAUUGGUGCCGUGUUAUAAAUGGUAGAUAUGUACUUUCCAACACAUUUGGAAGGUAUAGCCUCACCUCAAGCUGGUCCCCCUCGGACUCAGAUCACAGAGAAUCAGACUGAUCCAAACUCACUGGUUCUGGUGGAUGGGUUACCUCCUGGUGGGCUCGGACAGUCGAUGAUCCUAAAGUAAUUUGGAGAAGUAAAUUGAAGAGGUAUAUUUUUAUAAGCUUAACUACCAUUUCUUGCUUUUCUCAAAUGUCAACCAAAGCUUAACAUACUUUGUCUAUUGGGCUUCAGCGACGUGUAGGGCGUCAGUGCUUCCAGUGGUCGACCGUCCAACUGUAGAAGAUUGUUGGCUUCCACCAAGAUGGGGACCUCAGCUAGGAGAGAAAAAGCAGCGAGAUUUCCCAGGUCUCGCCUUCCUUUCGUCCUUCUUCCAAACCAUGAAUUCGCUCGGAUGUCGUAGCACUUGGUCCCCUUCUUGAUUCUGCUCCGGUAGCUCUCCUGCUGUUUAUCCUGCGCCUUGUCGAUGUUCCGUCUCACCUUGAUUGAUGACAGGAAUACAUGCAAUUAUAUUUCAUGUUACAAAUACAUUUCUUACAUUUCUCUUGGAGGGCAAGAAAAUAAAUGAACAGCGGGCAAUCAUUUUUACCUGGUCGAAAACCUCCUUCUCAGUCCGUGCCUGAAGGUAGUACUCGAACGUGUUCUGAUCUGGUUCGACAACUUCCAUCACAUCAGGUGGGGUUUCAGUGAUCUGAAAGUACGUUAUACAAAAAUGGCAAUAGACAAACAACAACAUUAAGUCAAUGACAAAUUUGAAAGACUACAGUAUAUGCAAUACUUGUAUAUUUAAACUAUCACAUUUUUUUGCCUCAGUCAACAGCUGCGGCUCCCGUCCGUACUCGGCAUGGAUUCUACUGCUGUGUGCAAAAAUACUUACCUUCAGGUUGUUCUCCCACCCUUCUUGGAACCAAUCAAGGGACAUGCCAUUGGCAGUCUUGAGGGUCUGGUUGGUCCAUUCACCAAAUCUGGAGGAGGAGGUAGAAAAGCAAUAACAAUGUAAGAUAUUGAAACAUAUCUGAUUAUGUACCAUGGAGAAUUUUUUUAUUUUUUGAAAUAAAUAAAACAAACCAUUGGUGACAGAAUAACAUCCGUACCUUGUAUCUGUGUCAUACAGUAUGCAGAUUUUCAUAUGUGUAAGGAUACUGACACACACACACACACAUUCUAUAAUAUUGAACUCUGCUGUGGUCAAAUAAAGAAACCAUUACAACAUUUUAAUGUGGACACUUACCGAUCAUGUGCCAUGGUGAAACAACUUUGAUGGGCUUCAGCCAGUCUUCACCCUCUCAAACUCAACUUUUGAAAUGCAAGAGAAAAGCCACAAUGUAUUAUUCCAGUUUAGGCACAAUUUAUAUUUUGGCCACUAGAUGGCAGCAAUGUAUGUGCAAAGUUUCCGACUGAUCCAAUGAACCAUUGUAUUCCUGUUCAAAAUGUAUCAAGUCUGCCCAAAUGUGCCAAAUUGGUUUAUUAAUACAUUUUCAAGUUCAUAACUGUGCACUCUCCUUAAACAAUAGCAUGGUAUUCUUUCACUGUAAUAGCUACUGUAAAUUGGACAGUGCAGUGAGAUUAACAAGAAUUUAAGCUUUCUGCCCAUAUCAGAUAUGUCUAUGUCUUGUGAAAUGUACAGUAUCAUGCUAAUCACAUUAGCGCACGUUAGCUCAACCGUCCCUUGGGGGGUCACUGAUCCCAUAGAGGUUCAAUUAUUUAUUCCUGUUCAACAAUAUGGACUUAUAUAAAAGACAAAUACAUGGUAAAGAAAGUGUUAUCUUUUCAGUGGUUUCGGCCCUCUAAAGCAGCAGGUAGUAGGCAGGUUGUCACUGUCAAAAACACCGUCCUUGGAGAGCAAUUCUGAGGUAAUCAUUUUGUGUGGACUGAGCAAGCGUUUAUGGGGUGAAAUAGAACGAAAACUGCCCGCAUUCUCCUUCCUUCGCAACCGCUAUGAGGUAAAAUAGAGCCAAGCAAACAGCAUAGCAACGGACAGUUUGGUUCAUUACGUAAUCCAGUCAGAAUGUUGCAAGUUCUAGCAACAGAAGCUAGAACUCAUUGAAUCCCAUUGUGACUUAGAGGGGGACACUAUUUGGCAUGGCCCCCCCAACCAAAUUUCACUUAGGGGCCCCUAAAGGCUAGUAGCGGCCCUGUCUGGCUGUUUAACUUUUUCAGGAGUAGGGCCAUUUGAGGUUUUUAUUCGGCAGGGGUUGAAAUACUAAUUUCAAAAAAUAAAUGCAUUUGAUAUAUUUCACCUCCAAGUCAUCGAAUUUGCUAGGUCAAUAAAAGCUCAAAUCUGUGACAGUCUCUGAGGUCCUAUAGAGAUCAGAGAUGGUCCCUAAUUUAGAGAGUCUCCGAUGCUAUAAAUGCUUUUGCUUUUACGACAUGCUAUGGCAGUGUUUUUCUUUUGUUGCAGUCCACCCUAUUGCAAAGUGCACAUUCACUUCCAUAACAUUUGUUCUAGGCUACCAGAAUGUAAGAAUAUCAUCCACAAUAAAACUGCAGUACAAUGAAAUAAUGGUUGUUUAGUUAAUGGGGUCUGGUAGCUUGCUGUGUGUGUUUGCUUCUAAUGGUAAUCCUUCGUCUGUAUUAGUAAAUUGCACCGUUUAUUGUGCGGCACAUUUUCUUCUGUUCUACUGAAUGCUUGUUUGAUGUUCUAUUAUGACGAACUCAAUUUGUUUUGAGAAUUUGACAAACACCACAUAUACCUUCAGUAUGUAAUGUAUUACAGUCUAUUACAGUCCACCAGGUUUUUACAAAACCCCAUUUUUCAGUACAUGUAUUUCCAUCAAUAAUUAAAAAAUUAUUACACCUGAAUUUUACAGUGGAAAUAUUACCAGUAUAUUUUCCCUUAAAGUUUUUAAGCAACUAACAUAAUGUGUGUCGUAAUUGUAUUUUUAUUUCAGUAGCUAAAUAAAGAGGUCGGCAUAUCAGUUCCAGGUAAAACUUGGUUUGGAAUCUGUUCUUCACAUGGAGCAAUAAGAUCUGCUUGUUCAAGUGCACUGGUCAAAAUACCAUACAACAGUUUGGACACGGCGCCCUGUAGGCUACACAACAACAGUGCUGGAACACAGUGACAAUUUCUCUAAACUUCGAAAAGAUUUUACUGCUAAGUGGUAGUCCCUGUUCACCUUCAUUCAUGUUUUACUUUUGGAUCUUCUAGCUUUGAUGGAAGAUUGGAGGGAAAAAACGGGAGUACAGUAGUUAUCCAGCCUGCUGACUAAGAAAUUUCUUGAAACAUGUCAAUGACCUCUAUAGCAAGUACUUGGCCAAGUUACCAGUGACCUAUUCCUCCACAUCGCAGUGAAAGGAGAGAGCAGAACCAACCCUCCUUAAAUCCAUAGUCAUUGACUAAGUUCAAACCCAUUCAACAGACACCUACCUCCCUUGGUGAACAAUGAGACGUUUCUCCCAUUUCUCUCUUGCUCAUUCUCCAUGUCCCUUCACUCAAACACGUGUGCAGUUGCAGAGAAGAGGGAAGAGAUUUGACAAAAACACAGUUUUCUAACAACGUUUGUUGAAGGAAUGAUAAGACAAGACAACUUUUAAAAAUAUAUCAUUUUAUUGUCUAUUUAUUGCCUCUUUACACAUACUACAUUGCUGUUACUUUUCUUUGAAGAAAAUAACCUCUGUCCGGUAUUUAAACUAUUGAAAUGCCUUCAUCAAAUACAUCCCAGUGGGAAAAACCUGGUUGAAAAGACAUCAGCAUGACUUCUUAUUCUGGUCACAAACUAGUUGAAAAAUGACUUUUGUGUUUCAUCUGCAACAUAACAACAGAGAGAAUGUUGUCGUCGAUAAGGACACAUUGGUCUUCAAGGCAUUUUGUGUUUGUAACAAGAUACUUUGCACUAGCCAGAGAUGCAUCAAAAGGUAUGUUACUGCACUAUUCACAGUAACUUACCACCAGCUUUCUGUUACUGUAAUACCAGAGCAAAGAUACAGUACAAUACCGCAAAAUUUGCCUACUAUACUGUAAGAAAGUAAAUGCUACUGUAAUCCUAAUAUAGAUAUUUUACUUUAAUACAUGGGAUUGGUGCAAGCAGGUUGGCUGCUAGUUAUGCGUAUAUUACAGCAUAUUUAUAUCAAGUGUACUGCUACAGGCCUAAACAAAGGCUUCCAAACUGGCAAAACACACCAAAUGGCAAAAUACUCAACCAGUAAAGAUUUAAGACUUGCUGCCACAGUGAUCUGUCCCCUAUACAAAUGAACCCAUUAAGGCACUACUAUCACAUAUUAGUUCAAUUGGUAUAGCAUUCUCACUAACGGGAUGCAAAAAAAUGUGGCUAGACAUUUACAAGGCACACUUCAAAAUAUGUUAACAAGCAAAUUACAGUAGCUUACUGUAAUUGUUUUGCUGAAAAUGUACAGCAAUUUGAUACGGUGUGGGAGAGAGGGUGAACUGGGUGUAAUCUAGUGGGACAUACAGUAUUUCAAUGUAAUUUAAGACUGACUCAGUCAUUCAUCUGGUUUAUCUUGAUCUUUCUCUUCACCCUCUGAUAUGCCAUACUAAAAUCGGACCAUAAAUGCCAUACUAAAUCGGACCAUCAAAUCACAUCUCUCAAUCACAAGAAUGUGUGCACUCACACAAAUGGGCUACACCCACAAAUGUGCAGUAUUUGUGCGCACACACAGCACACACAGCUGCUGGCCAGAUGACUUCAUGCCACUAGCUAUAGCUACAUAUCUUCCUACAACACCCACUGCCCAACAUUUUGUGGGUGAGGUGUUUAGGCAGUUCAGUGCCUAUUCCUCAACAUGGUCGUAUUCAUUAGAGCACACCAUGGCAAAAUGUUUUGCGAUGGAAAGUGAUAACGAGCCUUUCUUAAUGGACAAGUUUAGGUAGUCCCAUACUUAAAGGUCCAGUCCACGAACAGGCAGCGAGCCAGUUGGCACUAGAGAGACCUUUAGAUCUCUAAUCUGCAGUCAGCCAGUGCCUCUGGAGAGCUGUGUGUGUAGCUGUGUGUGUGGGUGUGUGUGUAGCUGUGUGUGUGUGUGUGUGCAGUCAGGACAGACCUAGUUAUUAAUAUGAUUGAUAACUGGGGCUUAGUUUCCCAAACAUCGGUCAUUUACAGUAUGUUGGACACAUGUCAUAAUCCUCCAAUACGCAGCUGAUUGAAAUAAGGUCCUUCUGUAGCUCAGUUGGUAGAGCAUGGCGCUUGUAACGCCAGGGGUAGUGGGUUCGAUUCCCGGGACCACCCAUACGUAGAAUGUAUGUACACAUGACUGUAAGUCGCUUUGGAUAAAAGCGUCUGCUAAAUGGCAUAUAUAUAAUCAAAAUCAUCAAGCGUGUAGUUGUGUAGUUGUGUAGUGCUAGGGCAAAAACCAAAACGUACAACCCGUGGGAUACCGAGGACCGAGUUUGGACAAUUCUGGGUUACCAUCUCUCCUCUGCCCUUCCCAUUUGUCUCGGUUUGUAUGAGGCCUCUUUGGGGCUGAUGAAGUAUAAAAUCU
Long non-coding RNA from Oncorhynchus keta (chum salmon), 6057 nucleotides. RefSeq lists it as uncharacterized. The transcript is spliced from 6 exons. The record is from RefSeq and is a predicted model, not a curated record. Lineage: Eukaryota; Metazoa; Chordata; Actinopteri; Salmoniformes; Salmonidae.